UCUGUCACAAUACGAAAAAGCGACAGUUGUGCGAAAGUGUGCGUCCACACACGGUAAAACGGAAUGGCGUCGACAACCGAAAUACAAAUUGUAAAUAUUCCGAAUUUGGAGAAAAUUCAGAGUUUCCUAAAUGAUUCCGCCUAUAAGGAAGUGCUCGAGAAUAGUGAAAACUUCAAUACGCGGUUGUGUAUCGAACGCCGCCUGCGGAUGCCGUUCAUUGAUCCGCAAACGGGAGUUGCACAGAAUCACUGCGCUUUGUUUAUGAAGAGACAACAACGAAUGCCUGGUUUUCGUGACGGGCAAAUCUACACGUACCCUUCAACGCGGUGGCGGAAGCCCAAACGGCAGUAUCUAUUGCAGCAUCAUAAUUACAGGCCCUACAGCUACCGAGAAACCCAAGUCGAGGCGACAGUACCUAUAACUGAUGGAACUACUGUGAAUCCAGCAGUUGACACCGAUAGUAAAGAUAGUCAUCGAAACGAUGAGAAAGAGUGGUAUUAUGAUGAAAUGGAGUUGAGUCAUCAUGUAGAUAACUUCGAAGAGGAUCCUGAAUCAGAUAUGGACUUCGACGAAUCAUAUAGUAGCAAACGUCGCAGAAGAAAAGGUGCAGGUGUAUCGAAGAAGACUAUCGUAAUUCCAGAAGUACCAAUAGUUAAACGGGGACGAAGAGGUCGUAAGAAACAAGUACCGAGUGAUGGAGAUGGUCGUCGCAGUCGCCCUGGUCCACCAUCACUUCCACCAAACACCGGCUCAUCCCCGCUUAAUAACAUUGAAGAACCCCAGAUGCCUAUUCUAACGCCAGAGCAUAAGCUUCCAGCAGAUGAGACAGACGUUGAUAGACGAAAGCAGGGGAAAUCACGAUUGGAGACUGUUAAGGCUGAACCAUCGCCGUAUUGUGAUUUUUGUUUAGGCGAUUCUCGUGAAAACAAAAAAACCCUUUUGCCAGAAGAACUUGUAUCCUGUUCGGAUUGUGGUCGAUCGGGUCAUCCAUCAUGCUUACAAUUUACCCCUAACAUGAAUAUUUCUGUGAAACGAUAUCGAUGGCAGUGUAUCGAAUGUAAAUAUUGUUCAAUAUGCGGAACAUCAGAUAAUGACGAUCAACUGCUCUUCUGUGAUGAUUGCGAUCGAGGUUAUCAUAUGUAUUGCUUAUCGCCACCGCUAACAGUACCACCGGAAGGUUCGUGGAGUUGUAAACUCUGUAUUGAAGAAUUUCAUAGUGACAAAAAGUCAUUGUCUAAUUCUGGCUGCUAUAGCGCAAGGUGCUGAGUGAAGAGUAAUUAAAACAGAACAAAAACUAACUGUACAUAAACCGAUUUAUCUUCAGACAAAUUGAAUUCAUGUCGUAUUACUGCGUUGUUGCGUCGGUUUAUUAUGCAGGCUGGUGGUCACCGCGCCACUAGGCUCAUCUUCAAGAAUCAAUCAGCAUGGAGACGUAAUAUCUCUGAAGUUGUACUUAAGUCUUCGUGGUCAAACAUCUUUACAAACUGUUAUAAUUGCGUGUUGAUUAAAAAGUCAACUUUGGAAAAAAUCCUUUACUGCCUCUGACAAGAAUGUAGAAAUAAAUUUUUUUAUUAAAUUAAUAUGAGUAUUUUUUACCUUUUUAAUAUCCCCGGCCUGCAUUACAAUUUGAAAUGAUCAACAGUUGUUAAGAUGGUCAAAAUAGGCCUUCGUAGUUAACAAUAAUCAACUCGUUUGUUGAUAUAGAUGUAUGAAUAUGUACACACGUAUGUAUUGUUAUGACAGAAUGUAAUGGCGAUGGUCAGACGUCCUUUUAUUCACAUUGGCCUGCUCAUGCUACAUAUUAUUCGGUGCAUAUCCAUCAUUUGUUUCUGUCUGGGGCGAGUGGGAAUUUGUUUUUGUAAUAGGAAAAAAUCGAUGCAUUUUUUACUAUGAUCCGAACAACAUUGAAUUUGAAGUUCAUCCAAAGCAAAAUUAGCGGGGAUUGGAUCGGCCGGCGAGGUUAGCACAGAGAUCAGCUGGACUCGUGGAGUUUGAAAUUUCAAAAGCAAAUACUAAAGCAUGUAAAAUGCGGAAAAUUUGCCAUUUGUUGUGUAUAUUCCUUCUGGAUUGCGAGAAAUGUUGAAAGGGGAUUAUUUUUAGAUUCAGUGACAACCAGAAACAAUUGUACAAAGUAUUGAAGCAUCCAGACGGUGGGUCAAGUGACACCAUUGAAGCGGAGGAGACAAGCUUCCCGCACAGUUUGCAGCGACGCGACAUUAAGACUUCGUUGGCAUUCAAGAUGCACUAUCGAAACCCGCUUCACUCACUUGAUACGGAUCAUAUUUCACAUAAACCGGGUUGACUAGGCAAAUCUGAUCUCCCGUUGCUUGCAGAUAAGUUUAUGGUUGAGAAUGUGUUCUAACAAAUCCACAAAAUAUUUUAGUGUUGUAAAGUAAAAGAAAACCAAAAGGAGAACAUCUGUACUUUUCACUAGGCGCUACCCUGUAUGAAUAUUCGUUUCUCCUUACUUUCAUUCCAUGACUAAUUUUUGAGACUACAGGUAUAACCUAUUCUUAUCGCCAUCUAACAGAAUAUGAUGGCAAUGAUAUAUCAUAUACGAGUAUAGAUAAUGCAACGUUGUUCAAUGUUUGUUUACAAUAAAGAUAAUAAUUGCGGCCUCAAUAUAUUAUGGAAAUAUCCAGGGGAAAAUUUUGCCGUUUUCGUAUCAUUUUCAUCAAAUUUGUCGCGUCGGCAGACAAUACACUUCCUUUGAGCAGUUCAAUCCUUCACGUGUCAUUGUAUUAAAAUGCACGUGUCCUUUACCGACCGUAAUCCGUACCGGAUGCUGAUCGUCCUGUUAACCUAUCGAAACAGUAUGCGAGCUAAACUGGAAAUGCAAAUAAAAAAAAUAACGGCUCGACUAUAUAUUGGGAAAGGUAAAGGGUGUUAAAAUGGAAGAAAAGGGAAGAAUAUUAUAUAUCAGUAACUGCAUUCCCUUUUUAGAUUGUCUCUGGAAAAGGCGAAUGAAAGACUGCACCUGUCGCAAAAACGAGGAUGCUACAACUUGUGCAAGCAUUGUACAAAUGCACAUAUUUAUUUAGACAUCAUCAGUCUUCUAUUUUCAUUAACAUUAUCUAAUAUUUCUCGGUCAGGAUUCACUGACGUGGAGCGAAUUAUGUACAGAAUUAAAAUAAACUAAAUGCUAGCAUUUAAAAUUCCUAACUCACUCACAGAAAUAGUGUGUCUAAGUGAUUCUACAGUUGAGGGUAUAAUAUCAUGCUUUGUACAUGAGAAUAGAGUUCGAGAUAAUGGCAGAGAAGCUGCAAACAAAAUUUUUAACGCAGCGGACGAGCUAAACAAGAACACUAAACUAUCAGCCACCGAGCUUGACGGUUAAGGAUGAGUUAAUUUUGUAGCGUAGAAAUCUUUCGCCGAGUCCUCCUGAAUCAAAACUUUGAUACUAGAGUAGCAACGAAAAAAACCUUUAUAAGUAUGAAGAACCCGAAAAGUCGUCUUUGUUUGCAAAAGAACUCAUUAAUAAGGACAUCGGCUUUUUGGCUUUAAGUCAUAUUUGCUGACGAGUCCAAUUAUAACAUUUUCAGUUGCGCUACAAAAUAAAAAUUUAGAGUUAACAGCUAAGCGUGGGGUGACAGUGCCAGAAUGCUAAUUUUCCGCAAAUUGCAAAUUAUCGAUGAAGUUAAUUGCGUCCCCCUAUUUCACAUGCGCCCUCUAUCUCGAGUUGUAAUCCCGACUCUGUAACUGCACCCCAAUUCGCGGUCGCCCUUAAACGGGUUUUACAACAGUUAUCUGGCUAGAUCUCGGCAUAAGCAUACGAACGGCAUGGAAAUGGAAAAUGAAAUGAUUAUUUUUAAAUUCUUAUAAUAUUUUAAAAGGAGUGAAUAUGGGAAUCAUACGGAGGGAAAUGAGGGUGUUGCAGGGGCUUGGGUAAACGAAGUAAAUGAAUCUCUCACCCGGUAUAUUCUUGAAGAGAAAGCGAAGUGUCCCAUCGACACACCCUUGCUUUACACCUAAGUUGGGAAAGCGAAUUCCAGCCACUUCAGGUAUUCAAGGUUUUGUGCUUUCCUAAGUAGGGAACUUGGUGUGCACAACUGUUCCUUUUGUAACUAACUAAAAGCUCUUUUGUAUACAUAUUAUAUUGUAUAUUUACAAAACAGGAUAUGUACAUAUCGAAAAAACGUUAAUACAUUCAUCAUAAGCAAAUAAACAUUGGAUAUUGCUUACUAAAUGCGUACAUGCGUAUAUAUCAUCUGAAUUGGCUAUCUCCAAAUGCACAUUAACAAACAUAAGUAAAUGGAUGAUUUUAGUUCGUACGCACGAACAUAAAUAUAUAUGUAUGCGUAUGUAAUUGAAUAACACAUUGUAUUACGAAUUUCAUACGUAUUCUUCUAUGCGUGAGACUGAUUUACAAAUAACUAAAAUAAAGCUAAAUAGUUUAAAGCUUGUCGAAAUACUUUCGUCGUAUAUGUAUAAGUAGGCCUUUAGUAUACGUUACACCUUUCUCCUUUAAUUUGACACUGAUGUCAUAUGAUUUCUUGGCGUGCAAUAAGUUCACAUGAAAAUGAUAAUUUUGAUCUUCUAAGUUUUUGUUACUAAUAGCGGGAUUUCAACCAAACUUGAAUUAUUUCAAUAUUCUCAAAAUACAAUACAAUACAAUUUCUGGAACGCUUUUACAAAAAAUAUGCUACCAAAUGUUACUGCUACUAUUUAAAUGUAAAUUAUCUGAAAUACUUGCAAAUUAUAUCGAAGUUGCAUCAAGUAAAAAGGAAAGCGUAUUUGUUGUAGUUUUUUGUUUUAAAUUCUUUCGCAUUUUUCAAUGUACAUACUUUCUCGGGAAAUGAAGUGAUAUCCUCAAACAUUGUCUACACAAGGAGAAUAUCUUUAUAUUUCAUGUCUGAUGCAACGCAGAUGCAAAGUUUUUCGGCACAGUGUAUAUUUCUUCGGUUAAUUUUACAAUUUUACCGCAGUCAGCUUUAUAGAAGAGGUUCCUCUUAGUUGCAGCCCUCAGCAAUCGAGGCGUGGAUCGAUCGCUUUAUUUAUAUAAGAGGACAUUUGCUUUCUUGAUUAAAAAGAAAGCACCCAUUUAGAUUUUUUUUCCCCAAAAUCUAUAAUAUUUAUUGAAAAACUUCCUUUUGGAUGUUAUGAUAUAUGUGUUGAAGAACAAAAAAUAAUUUUCUUAUGACUUUCAACUGUUCAUAUCGCGAAAGUCACAUUCUAAACGGGGAGACAUUUUUUGAGCUAUCAAGUCCAGUGAAUUAUCCCUGUAAAACGGAUUUCUAUGUAUAUAAAUUUUCAGAGGUAUAUUCCCUAAUAUUUUAUAAAAAAAAAUCAAAUGCUUGAAAAAUGUGUCUGGCGAGUUCAAAAAAUGUUGUUUCGAGAAAAACUCGUUUGAAAUUUUUUUUCGAUAAUUUACACACAAUAUAUUUUCCACAUAUUGCAUUAUUCUGUCGUUCCUGGUGAAUGCUGUAGGUCUUCAAUUUCUGCCAAAUAUAAAAUCCUUCUCUUCAGAUCUUUUUUCUCUAUAUUCGAACUUCUCUUAAACGUACGGUGCUCCUUCAAUCAGUUUGCCGUAUACGGCGUUCAUCUACAUAUUUCGCGAAAAUCCUAGUAGUAUAGCCAACUUUGAUGUCCGCUACAUCAAUAAUGGGAAAGUAAGUCCAUGCUUCUUCAUUAAAGGCAUAUGGAACUAUCCACGAUGCAACUUGUCUGGCAGCCAAUAAGCUCUUUGGAGCGAGGAUUUCCUCGAGAGCAUUUUUCGUGUUCACCUACCUAUUUUCAAACACUUAAUUUUUGUUCAAAACUUGAGAAAAUAAAGUACGUGCUUUUCGACGAAUGAUACAAAGCAAUUGUAUAUAUAUUGUAUAUGUAAAUAUAAUAUAUAUUUUACAUACCCUUAUAAUAGUUGCAUAUACACGAGACGAAGUGUAUAUUGCGCAAACCGCGCUCGGCGCCGCCAAAACUAAUUCUAGGGUACGACUACAGUUGUGUUUAUAACUUGAUUUAUAUAUGGAAUUUCUCAAAACUUUUAGAGUAUAUUUCUGUGAUCUUAAAAAACAAAUUUAUGAAAGAAAAAAAUAACUUUUUUUAUUUAGAAAAUGCAUAAUAAUAAUUCGCUUUGUGUAAGUGGAUUAUUUUCUUCCAAUAUGCAUUUAUAUACACGUCCUUUGACGACCGCCUCAGUACAAUUUUUGGUCUUUUCAGUCUGCUUCUAAUCACCGCGAGUUACGCCAGCGAAUGAUAAAAAGGCUUCGAAAAAAUUUACUUCUGUUCGAAUACUAUCCAAUUUUUCUCACAAAGUUACGGUCAAAUGCUUGAAAUUUUCCGCUUUAAGUUCUUAAGCAUCCAACUCAAAUAUAACUUCAGUUUUGUCUACUGGCAAGAAAUGUAUUUCCAAAACGCAGUCUUCCCGGUUUUGGAUAUCAAGUUUGCGAGUGUCAAUGGAGUUGUAAAGUAUCAAGAAUUUCUCCAUCAACAAACUACUGUUUCAAAAGGCUUUUGCUUUCUUCUUCGGUUAUACUUUUUUAUCGAUGCUGCUCCCCAGUGCGAUAGCGAAUUUCUAACUUCUUCAACGCUGUAAACAAAUAAUCCGCUCUCAUAGCACGGCGACGGCGGGAUCCAAUCUCAUUUUGAAAAUUCGGUUUUGACCACAAUAUAAAUUGAUGAAACCUAAUUCCUUCAUGUUUUCAUUAUAAAUUAAUUAUAAAGGUAUUUUUCCUUUUCCAGGCGCCAUUACUAAGGAUUAAUUAUUGGCCGAAUUCAACAUCGUCGAUGUUGCCGAUCAUCCAUAUUGCAAGUUCAUUCGUGACCUGUACCGUUUAGCUUUAUCCCUAAGUCUUAAGGGAAACAUUUACCAUUUGUAAGAUAUGUUAUUACCAGGUUGUCGGCCCUUUGCCGGCCUUAUAAUCUCCUUCCGCUUCAGCUCCACGGAAAUUACACGGUGAUCAGAACCUGAUAUAAGUAAUAUAGGUAAUUAGCGACAAGUGCAUACUGGCACCCUAGACCUGAACUCUUCCGCCUUAUUUUCAAGAAAAUGGGGCGUGGCGAAACCAGUCUCUCCUCAAGUGGAAUUAAUUCUUUUACAACUUGGGGAAUAAGAAGAAAAUCAGGCCAUUGACUCUGAUUAUGUAUAUGUAGUAGUAUGCUUUUGGUGUAUGUACGUGAAAAUAGUCCACUGCACUCGUCAGGUUGUAAACAGAAAACGCUCUGUAUACCUCUGGAGGAGGUAAGAUUGUCUUUCCUUCUAGUUAUUAGUAAUUCUUUCGAAUUUUGCCUAACCAAUUUGAUGGGCCAUAACUUGCCACAACAAUAACAUGCAUUUGCAUACCCUUCUUUUAUAUUCUUUGUCAAGUCAUUAAAUACUGCGUUGCAGUAUUACGCACGUAUUUGCUGAUGAGUUAUUUUUCCUGAAAUUUCCUUUUGUAAAUAUUGAGGAUUGGACCGACCAGUUCUUCGCGCUUACAUAUCUCACUACCGCGCUACUUCCUUAUAUCUUGUUCAUGCCACGAGUUCGCUUUUUAUCCCUGAACAAUGAAUUUUUCCGAGAGUUUUUCGACGUGCUACUGCAUCUCGGAUUUGUUCUUUCGUUCUGUAUAAUUGUAUCAUUCGAAAGCGUUUUCUUGUCAAACUGUUUCGCAAUUGCUCCUUCCACCUGCAAUUCUCACUGCUACGAACUUCACAUCUGGCUUAUUCUACAAAUGUUCGAAUUUUCUGUCAUGCGUGCCUAUCACGAGACCUUUCCACUUUCCUUUUAUUUCUCUGAUUUCUGUAACCUCACGAACUUUUCUACCUCAAUUAUCGCGAAGUUUAUCGUUUUCCCUUGAUUGCAAAUUCUGCCCUGAACUCUUGCGGCAUUUAAAUCUCGCUUCCUUUCUGCUGCUCUAAUUUGAGCAUUCAUUGGUGAAACGAUAUCUCGAAACGUUUUCCUGCUCUAACUCCAGUAUUUGUCGUAACAUUUCGUCGUGCAACAGUAUCACGGAGUCUCUCUGCAAUCCUGACGUUAUCUAUGUGGCUAGUACUCAGCCGUGCUUUGGCAUCACGAUCUUUUUCAACUUUCCUUACUAUAACGCUCUCGUUUUUCCUAACUUCUGGUUUUUCUUCCCGCAUAUUGCGUUUUGCCUGACGAUCUCGCCUUCUCUCGGUCUCUUGUAACCUUUCUCCGUUAUCUUUUGUUAUCUCGUCGAGUACUCCUACAUUUUCUUGAAGCAGUUUAUCCCAUCCUUUUGUCGAAAAUAGGUUGUUUUGUCGACCCCCUCUUAGCACUUUGUAACAUGACGAGUACACGACAACGCAUUUCUCUUAUCAAACAGUUUUCAUAAGUAGAAUUUUUGCUUGCUUUUGUACGUCUAUACUGAAUGGGAGGAUUUAAGCCAAACAAAUUGGAAAUAAAUGCCUCUUUUGGAGGACAAACGUUUUUAUGCAACAAGCUGCAUACACGCGCAAAAUUCCAGUAUUAUAAUAAAUACACAUCUAGGGUCCAACGUAACCCAAAUCUCCUCUUUACAAAAUUUGUAGAUGCACUUCUUAUGUCUUAAGGGCUCGAUUAGCGCAAGCUGUUCAACGAAAUCAAGAUCCCAUGGCCGGUAGUAUGUAUUCCAUUGUGAAAUAACAUGAAAUACACGUACCCCGUCGUCUUUUACAUAGUAGCCAAACUUAUUUUCCCCAAAAAGCUUUCAGCCAUUAUCAACUUUCGUUAAAAUUGCUUCCAAACAAUGUAAAUAUACAUUCUGGCAAAAAGUACCCGGAAUGUGUAAAUAAAACACCAACUAUUCCACAAUAUUUAUUUCGUCACUUUGAAAGUGGGCUCCAUCUGAUGCAACAAACAUGUGCCAAAGUCUUUUCCAUUCUUUGAAACAUUUUUCGUAGGCGAUUUUCGGUAUAGUUUUCAGUACCUUCAACAAAUUGUUGAUUUCGGCUCGUCUUUUCUCCGCCAUAUUGAUGACUGGUGACUUUCUUCCAUGUCAAAUUCAUAGGCCCAUGUCUCAUCAGUAGUUAUUAUGCUUUCCACGAAUGUAGAAUUCAAAUUGACGCGAUCUAGCAUGUCCAAUGAGAUCUAUCUACGAUAAUCCUUUUGAAGAAGAUUUAACUCUUUUGGAAAAAGUCUACUGGCGACUCGUGUCAUUUCCUAAUUAUCGAGUAAAAUCAAAGGAACUGACUUGUGAGACAAAGGUGUCGUCCUACCUCUCUUAAGUUAGAAUGUGUGAUCUGUACUGAUUCAAUCAACAAACUGAUUGACAGAUUGUUUUCAAAUGGUGCACGAUAAAGUACAGUAUUGUCAGCUUGUACAAAAAAUAUUUGAAAAAUUAUUAGCUACAGUAUUUAAGUAAAUGAAGAGAUAAGGAAAAUUUACAAACACAUUCGCAAUACACACACUCGUUUCUCGUAUAUUAAGGAUCAGGGUGUCUAGUACUUAAUAGAAAAUAUAAGGAUCAUUACAAGAAAAUAACAUUCUUAUAAAUAUAGGUAUUCACUCAUUUUUACAGCAAUACCAAUGUGAAAAAAGAAGUAAUUGUUUAAAUAUCUGGUUGAAUAGCCUUUCUUGCUGCUUUACAUUUGCGCGGCAUGGACUCAAUUAAGUUUAUUAUUACAUCUAUUGGAAGUGCGGACCACUUUUUUGGAGAGCAGCUAUUAAUUCAGCUGUUUUAGAAAAGUUUUGAGUUGGAAUACAUCGCUCUAAAUUCUGAUCAACAGGAUUUAGGUCAGGCUAUUUUUUUUACAAAUUUCAUACAAAAGUAAUAUUUACUCCAAAUCAUUAUGCUUCACCGAUGGUACUUGG
This 9730-nucleotide unclassified non-coding RNA is filed under the name Hermetia illucens (black soldier fly). RNAcentral's name for it is "zinc finger protein ubi-d4 B, transcript variant X5". Lineage: Eukaryota; Metazoa; Arthropoda; Insecta; Diptera; Stratiomyidae. The record is from RNAcentral.